Molecule: non-coding RNA, 46 nt
Organism: Trichobilharzia regenti
Lineage: Eukaryota; Metazoa; Platyhelminthes; Trematoda; Strigeidida; Schistosomatidae
Source: Rfam
CUACUUAUGAAGAGUCCCAAACUAGGACGAAACAGCUGUCUAGUAC